This is a non-coding RNA of Meleagris gallopavo (turkey), 1345 nucleotides long. NCBI's taxonomy places the organism in Eukaryota, Metazoa, Chordata, Aves, Galliformes, Phasianidae. The record is from RefSeq and is a predicted model, not a curated record.
CCCAGAUCUCAUUUAAAGGUUAGCAGUGGAGGUAAGGGUGCCCUGUUGAAGAUUUCUGUAUACCUGAAGUUGUAUGAAGUGCUCUCCAUUGCGUUACACAAGGAUAUUGCAGGGAGCAAAGCUGGCUGCCCAGAGCCCCUGAAGAUAGUUACCACCAUCUCAGCACUGCUCAGCCUCCUCAGACAGAGAGCCAGAUGUGUUCUUUGCUGCCAGCUAGAGAAAACAGCACACAUGGACUGCAGUUGGUGACCUGAGGCAGGGCUCCAGUGCCUGGCUGCCCUAAUACAAAGCUCUCUGCUGGCACUGCACUCUCUGGGAAGGACCGAAGAUGCUCUCCCACCAAGGAGCAGAGCUGUGUGGUGCCUGGUGCCAUGGAUCUGCCCUCGUGCUGUGCUGCUGCACAGGCACUCACACAGGAGGGCCCUGCAGAACACCCUGUGUGCACGUGUGUGUGCUGGGGGUCUGUGGAAAAAGGAUGAGAUUUGAUACCAAUUCCCUUAAUUUAUUCACACCAAAUGUCAGUGCGGUGUCGUAUAAAAAUCUUUAAUGAUUUUAAACAAAUGGUCCUUGAGGCAGGAAAAUAGUUAUAGUGCCGUUUCUAAAAUUAAUUUAAUGCCUUUGGAAUAGAAAUAAAAAUGAGCGCCUGCUCAGCUGCGCGUGCACUUCAAAGAGCAUCUGUCUGUACCUGAGGACCCUCCAGCUGCACUGGGCUUCCUGGCUACACGGCCCGUAUCUGUGGGGCUGUAUUGCAGCUUGUGUCCCCAUUGCCUUGGGGUUGCUUUACACAGAAGCAGAACCUAUUUUUAUGAUAUUUCCAAAUGACUCAUAACAGUGCAUCUUCUCACCAUGAAGCCCAGGCCAGCACUGUGCUGAUGCUCCAGGCCUGGGGUCCUCCAUGCAGGCUGCUGGGAUGGCGGUGCGUGGUGCUGCUGUGCCCCGGCACGCUGCUGGCAGUGGCUCCAGCCCUGUGGUCACAGCAACACUUGAGCACGUGUGUCUCAAAAGGAGCUCAGCCUGAGAAAUCGGGAACAAAGUUCGGGAGCAGCCAUGCACACCUGGGGCACAACCAGCUCUUCUGCUCUGCCUGCCCAGGGGGGACCUGUGAAACUGGCCAUAAGCACAGCACAACACCUAACGUUUGGGUAAGAUUGCUCCAAGCCCAUCCACAAACCAAGCACUUCUUUAAAGCCUAUAUGAUGAUAUUGAUUUAACACCUGCAGUUUCAGAUGUUGGUGCACCUCUCCCAGCCAGGCUGUGCUGCAGGCCUCCCAAAUGCCCGCCCAAGGUGAGUUUGCAGCCACCACCAUCCAUGCUCCUCUCUGUGCCAGCAACCCAGCCUCCGAGG